Molecule: long non-coding RNA, 467 nt
Organism: Oncorhynchus tshawytscha (Chinook salmon)
Lineage: Eukaryota; Metazoa; Chordata; Actinopteri; Salmoniformes; Salmonidae
Source: Ensembl
GUUGAGGUGGGUGCUGCUCAUGAUCAUCUAGUCUAGGUGGGUUAGGGGUUAGGGGUUAGGUGGGUGCUGCUCAUGAUCAUCUAGUCUAGGUGGGUUAGGGGCUAGGGGUUAGGGGUUAAGGGUUAGGUGGGUGCUGCUCAUGAUCAUCUUGUCUAGGUGGGUUAGGGGUUAGGGUUAGGGGUUAGGUGGGUGCUGCUCAUGAUCAUCUAGUCUAGGUGGGUUAGGGGUUAGGGUUAGGGGUUAGGUGGGUGCUACUCCUGAUAAUCUUGUCUAGGUGGCUCGUUGAUCAACACCGAUCAGAACAUUUUGACAGCAUGUUAUUUAGGUUUUGCUCUUCACUUCAGUCGCUUAGUAACCGAGACGUACUCCAAAAGGCUGGGACUUCACUGACUGGUCUGAUAAUCAAUCAUUGUGAUUUUGUUUCACUGAAUCUCUGUCUGUAUAAUCAAUCAAUGUUAUUGUGUUUC